ACGGGCCUGAAGACAGCAAUUUCCCAAAGGACUAAGCUAAGGAGAGUGGAGAUCUCUUUUCCGUGAUCGGACUGAACGGCGCGGUUGAAGCCUACAGCUUCUCACCGGCCAACGCAGCUCUUCAAGCACCGGAAUUAGGGUUUUCGACUACUCUUUCCUCCUUGACCUGCAAUCAAUGGAGGAAGGGAGAAGUAAAUCUAGAAGAGACGAUUUGGAUGAACCAAAGAAGAGUCAUCGUGAACGCGACAGGGAAAGGGAUAAAGAGAGAAACGGAGAUAGAGGCAGGGACAAGGAGAAGAGAGAUCGGGAAAGGAGUUAUGAUUCUGAAGAGCUGGUGCAACACGAGAGGGAAAAGGAAAAACCUAGGAGGGAUAAGGAUAAAACACGGAAUCGGGAUGAUGAAAGAGAUAGAGGAAGGGAUAGGAGGAAGGAGAGGGACAGGGCGAGGGAGAAAACCAGGGACAAGGAGAAGAGGGAAAGGGCAAGAGAGAAAGAAAGAGAUAAGAGGGAUAGAGACAGAGACAGGGAGAGGAGAGAACGUGAGAGAGAUAGGGAAAAAGAAAGAGACAAAGAUAGAAGGAAGCGGCGGGAAGUUGUUAGCGAAUAUAGUGAUGAAGAUUCUACUGAACAUGGUAGGAAGCGGCGUAGGAGAGAUGACGACGACCAUAGAGCUCACGAAAGUAAUAGCAGGAUAAACAAGCAGAGAGAUCACGUUGACGAGAGUCCACGAGAAAAGAGUGAAGAAGAUGCAUUUGAUAAGAAUGAAACAAAACCAACUCGUGAAGAGGAGUUGGAAAAUGAACAAAAGAGGUUGGAUGAAGAAAUGGAAAAACGAAGGCGAAGAGUUCAGGAGUGGCAGAAGUCAAGGAGAUUGAAAGAAGAAGCUGAUGGAGAUAAGCAGGGUGAACUGAAUGCUGAUGAACCAAAAUCUGGCAAGACAUGGACCCUUGAAGGUGAAUCUGAUGAUGAGUAUGAAAAUGCCAGGCCCACUGAGACGGAUAUGGAUGUGGAUGAAAAUUCUAAGCCACUUGUAGAUGGUGAACAGAUUGCAGUGAACUUCAACAAUGGCAAUGAAGCAGCUGCAUCUCCACCGCAAGAUAGCAUUGGUGGUGAUGCAGCUGAUGAUGAAAUUGAUCCUCUGGAUGCUUUCAUGAACUCCAUGGUUCUGCCUGAAGUGGAGAAGCUAAACAAAGUUGAGGUCCCCACAGUUAAUGAUGAUAAAAUUGUAGAGUUGAAGAGCAGAGAUAAACCAAGCGAUCAGAGUGGUGGUAAGGCUCAAAGAAGAAUUUCAAAUAAAUCAAUGGGCAGAAUAAUUCCUGGUGAAGAUUCUGACACAGACUAUGGAGAUCUUGAGAACGAUGGAGAUACUUUAGAAGAUGAAGACGACGACGAGUUCAUGAAAAGGGUGAAGAAGACAAAGGCUGAGAAGCUCUCUAUUGUUGACCAUUCAAAGAUGGACUAUCAGCCUUUCCGUAAGAACUUCUAUAUCGAAGUGAAGGAGAUAUCAAGGAUGACUUUGGAAGAAGUUGCUGCUUAUCGGAAGCAAUUGGAAUUGAAGAUACAUGGAAAAGAUGUUCCGAAGCCUGUUAAAACCUGGCAUCAAACUGGACUUACAAGUAAAAUCUUAGAAACAAUCAAGAAACUUAACUAUGAGAAGCCAAUGCCAAUACAAGCUCAGGCAUUGCCAAUAGUCAUGAGUGGCCGAGAUUGCAUCGGUAUUGCCAAAACUGGAUCUGGAAAAACGCUUGCAUUUGUGCUUCCAAUGCUGAGGCAUAUCAAGGAUCAAUCACCUGUUGUACCUGGUGAUGGUCCUAUUGGGCUUAUAAUGGCUCCUACCAGAGAGUUGGUCCAGCAGAUACACAGUGACAUAAAAAAAUUUUCAAAGGUAAUGGGUCUAAGGUGUGUGCCUGUAUAUGGAGGUUCCGGUGUUGCCCAACAAAUUAGUGAGCUUAAGCGUGGAGCUGAAAUAGUAGUUUGUACUCCAGGAAGGAUGAUUGAUAUACUCUGCACCAGUGCCGGGAAAAUAACAAAUCUGCGUAGAGUUACAUAUUUAGUCAUGGAUGAAGCUGAUAGGAUGUUUGACAUGGGUUUUGAACCUCAGAUUACUCGAAUUGUGCAGAAUAUUCGACCAGACCGUCAAACUGUACUAUUUUCUGCUACUUUUCCUCGUCAAGUUGAAAUUUUGGCUCGUAAAGUGUUAAACAAACCUGUUGAGGUACAGGUUGGUGGGAGGAGUGUUGUGAAUAAGGACAUAGCACAGUUAGUUGAAGUGAGGCCCGAAAAUGAGAGGUUUUUGAGACUGUUAGAACUGUUGGGAGAAUGGUACGAGAAAGGCAAGAUUCUAAUUUUUGUCCACUCACAGGAGAAAUGUGAUGCUCUCUUUAGGGAUCUCCUGAAGCAUGGUUACCCUUGCCUCUCACUCCAUGGAGCAAAGGAUCAGACUGAUCGUGAGUCUACCAUAUCAGAUUUCAAAAGCAAUGUGUGCAACUUGUUAAUUGCAACUAGUAUUGCUGCCAGGGGUUUAGAUGUCAAGGAGCUGGAGCUAGUGAUCAAUUUUGAUGUACCAAACCACUAUGAAGAUUAUGUGCAUCGUGUGGGUCGCACAGGCCGAGCCGGUCGUAAAGGGUGCGCCAUCACAUUUAUUGCUGAGGAAGAUUCAAGAUAUGCACCAGAUCUGGUGAAAGCAUUGGAACUCUCCGAGCAGGUUGUUCCUGAUGACCUGAGAGCUCUUGCUGAUAGUUUCAUGGCGAAGGUGAAUCAAGGACUAGAGCAGGCCCAUGGAACUGGCUAUGGUGGCAGUGGUUUCAAAUUUAACGAGGAAGAAGAUGAAGUGAGGAGGGCAGCAAAGAAAGCCCAAGCUAAAGAAUAUGGUUUUGAGGAGGACAAAUCAGAUUCAGAAGAUGAAGACGAUGGUGUCCGGAAGGCGGGUGGUGAUAUCUCACAGCAGGCAGCUUUGGCCCAGAUAGCUGCUAUAGCAGCUGCCACUAAAGUCAGUGCAGUUUCAAUCACAACUCCCAGCUCUGCUGCUCAGCUACUUCCAAAUGGGGGAUUACCUGUUUCUCUGCCCGGUGUUCUUGGGCUCACAAUUCCAGGAACAAUGCCAGUUAUUCCUAGUGCAACAUUGCCUACAGUUACUAAUGAUGGGGCUGCUGCAAGGGCAGCACUAGCAGCUGCAAUGAACUUGCAACACAACCUAGCCAAGAUUCAAGCUAGUGCAAUACCUGAACACUAUGAAGCUGAAUUGGAAAUUAACGAUUUCCCACAGAAUGCUCGAUGGAAGGUAACCCAUAAGGAGACCUUAGGCCCAAUUUCAGAGUGGACUGGAGCUGCUAUUACUACUAGGGGACAGUUCUUUCCACCAGGCAAGAUUGCUGGACCUGGAGAGCGCAAGCUUUACUUGUUCAUUGAAGGUCCUACUGAACAAUCUGUUAAGAGAGCUAAAGCUGAGUUAAAACGUGUCCUUGAGGACAUUACAAACCAAACACUGUCACUACCCGGUGGAUCACAACCAGGCAGAUACUCGGUCGUUUAAGUGUGAGAACUUAAUCUUUACUUUGACGGCAUGGUUUUCAUGAAUCCUUUUGUUGCUGGAAAUUGCACGUAUCAUGUGAUUUUCCCCCUUUCUUUGUUUCUAUUUUCAAAUUGAGAAACAAAAGAUUCUAUUAGUUGAGUCAGGAGCAUAGUAUUCUCAGGAUUUCUAUUUCUUCUUAGCUUUCUAAUAUCUUGUAGAAUUUUGCCCUAGAUGUAAGAUAUCAUUAAUAUGUAUAUUAUUUCAAUGUUCGCCUCUUUUGAUUUUUGUUCUGUUUUUCUUUUCCUAUGGUGCGAGGGAUGUUAUAUACCUAGAUCACAUGUUCAAUAUUGUCUCUCCGCUAUUACCUUGCAAUAGUGGCUAUCAGAUGGCAAUUAUGGUGCGCCACCCUUUGCGUCUAAUUUUGAAUGCUGCAGUUGAUUGUUUUUCUUCCGUGAUCCUCAUGAUGUUCUGAUUUGCAGCUGGAAUGUUGAAAGCCCUCAAGUUAGAUGGUCAUGGUUUGUCAUAUCUGGUUUAUGAAAUGCAUCCACCAUUGCAGGGUUGUGAAAUCUGGGAGAAGGAAAUACCAUUACCAGACCAGAGCUCGGACCAAAGAAAUUAAGAGGGUGGCAAGGGGAGGUCUCCCGGAGGAUGGGAAUCAGAAAUGUCCUUCCUUAUCCCUCAGUUAGAAGUUGGGGAGUCCUAUUGGCUUCUUUAGAAUGUGUUUUGGUUGUUUCCAAUUCCAUUAUGUGAUAAUGGUUUGCCUUGUAGCCUUUUUAUGCAGCGAAGUGAAGGUAUUUUGAACUCUGAUCGUCCUUCAUGAGGAAGCUUGCAUUUGGAAUGGAUGUUAUUCUUCAUUCAGUUGGGUAACGUGUAAAACAUUCCCUUGGAUGGAACAAUCAAGAAAGCACUGUUCCAUUUUCAUAUUGUAAAACCUGCUAACCAUCUAUUGGCCAAAUAUCUGAAAAUGAGGUUCUAAAUAGGAUGUUAUAUCCUUUUCAUUGCACAUGAAUGCUGUUUAAAGCAUAGGUUCUCAUCAUUGAAUAUCUGUAGGUACCAAUUACUGUUCACUCUGUUAGAUUUGUCAUCAUAAAACUCAUGUGAAACAUACAAAUACAUAUGAAGUUGAAAAAUAUUAAUGGACGAUUAUACAGUUUUUAUCUAACCAUUUGUUUUAUUGAGCUUCCCCUAUAUGGCUAUGAGGAAGACAGACCCUGAAUGUGUGAAUUAUGUCACAGCCAGAGCCUUAAUGUAAUCUUCGGAGGACUCUCAUUCUUCUCAUCCAUAGCAGCUUUGUAGUUAACACGAAGAGAAAGAAAAGAGAAGAUGCAACAAUUCUAGAUAAAGUUGAAGUGCUUACUUGAAUUGGCCAAGGAGAUGGUGGUGGUCUCGUCCGGAUCAAGCCAUACUCGACGUUUGCCACAGUUGAGGCUGCUGGCGGCAAGCCGCUUUUGUAGGGUGAGAGACACCAUUGCUGGUUCUGCUUGUGGUGGCUUCUUCUCUACACUGAACCAAAAGAAUGCAAACUUGAAAGAGCUUGAGGUGAGCUAAUUGGCUUAAGUGCUUUCUAUAUGAAAACAAAUUUGAAAGGUUUUAUAUAGAAAGUAAAAUGUCUAUUGCUUGGUUUUGUGUUACUUGGAAUGCAAGGAUUAUGCCUUCUUCGUUUCUUCCAUAUUCCCCCCUUUGUUUCUUUGACCAUUCAAACAGGGCUUGAAAAUUUUAAGUGUUUCCUUGGGGCCAAAGUAAAGUUGUAAUUAAUUUAUUUUAGUGUUCUCUUUUAUUAAAGUGUGGAAGGAUGAUGUGUGGCAAUUGAUAUAUAUAUUUCAUUGAUUCAGCUAUUGAAUCUCGCAUUUAUAAGA
RNA transcript from Cucumis sativus (cucumber), 5367 nucleotides. It is a transcript of the gene named DEAD-box ATP-dependent RNA helicase 42, with no coding region annotated. Lineage: Eukaryota; Viridiplantae; Streptophyta; Magnoliopsida; Cucurbitales; Cucurbitaceae. The record is from RefSeq and is a predicted model, not a curated record. The transcript has 6 exons.